GACGAACGCUGGCGGCGUGCUUAACACAUGCAAGUCGAACGGUGAAGCGCCUUCCUUUUUGGUGGGUGUGGAUGAGUGGCGAACGGGUGAGUAACACGUGAGUAACCUGCCCCCUUUUUCUGGAUAACCGCAUGAAAGUGUGGCUAAUACGGGAUAUUCUGGGUCUGUCGCAUGAUGGGUCUGGGAAAGAUAUUGUUUCGGUGGGGGAUGGGCUCGCGGCCUAUCAGCUUGUUGGUGGGGUGAUGGCCUACCAAGGCGGUGACGGGUAGCCGGCCUGAGAGGGUGGACGGUCACACGGGGACUGAGACACGGCCCAGACUCCUACGGGAGGCAGCAGUGGGGAAUAUUGCACAAUGGGCGCAAGCCUGAUGCAGCGACGCCGCGUGAGGGAUGGAGGCCUUCGGGUUGUGAACCUCUUUCGCCAGUGAAGCAGGCCUGCCUCGUUUGUGGGUGGGUUGACGGUAGCUGGAUAAGAAGCGCCGGCUAACUACGUG
Molecule: ribosomal RNA, 494 nt
Filed under: uncultured bacterium
Lineage: Bacteria
Description: partial 16S ribosomal RNA
Rfam family: Bacterial small subunit ribosomal RNA
Source: RNAcentral